AUACGUAGGGGACGAGCGUUGUCCGGAAUUACUGGGCGUAAAGGGCGCGCAGGCGGAUAUUUAAGUCAGCUGUAAAAGGCAUGAGCUCAACUCAUGUAUGCGGUUGAAACUGGGUAUCUAGAGUGCUGGAGAGGUAGGCGGAAUUCCCGGUGUAGCGGUGGAAUGCGUAGAUAUCGGGAAGAACACCAGUGGCGAAGGCGGCUUACUGGCCAGCAACUGACGCUGAGGCGCGAAAGCCAGGGGAGCGAACGGGAUUAGAUACCCCGGUAGUCCUGGCCGUAAACGAUGAAUGCUAGGUGUGGGUGUCGAGAGGCAUCCGUGCCGGAGUUAACGCGAUAAGCAUUCCGCCUGGGGAGUACGAUCGCAAGAUUGAAACUUAAAGGAAUUGACGGGG
RNAcentral lists this ribosomal RNA (394 nucleotides) under uncultured bacterium. RNAcentral describes it as "partial 16S ribosomal RNA". It matches the Rfam family "Bacterial small subunit ribosomal RNA", at positions 523 to 918 of the family's 1533-position model. The record is from RNAcentral.